RNAcentral lists this ribosomal RNA (292 nucleotides) under uncultured bacterium. Its description in RNAcentral is "partial 16S ribosomal RNA". It matches the Rfam family "Bacterial small subunit ribosomal RNA", at positions 505 to 796 of the family's 1533-position model. The record is from RNAcentral.
GUGCCAGCAGCCGCGGUAAGACGUACCACCCGAACGUUAUUCGGAUUCACUGGGCUUACAGAGUCCGUAGGCGGUCGAGAAAGUUGGAUGUGAAAUACCUCAGCUCAACUGAGGAAUUGCGUUCAAAACUACUUGGCUAGAGAGAUACAGAGGUGAGCGGAACUGAUGGUGGAGCGGUGAAAUGCGUUGAUAUCAUCAGGAACACCGGUGGCGAAAGCGGCUCACUGGGUAUCUUCUGACGCUGAGGGACGAAAGCUAGGGGAGCGAACGGGAUUAGAAACCCUCGUAGUCC